This is a non-coding RNA of Pelobates cultripes (western spadefoot toad), 159 nucleotides long. Lineage: Eukaryota; Metazoa; Chordata; Amphibia; Anura; Pelobatidae. The record is from the annotation of a GenBank genome assembly.
ACACAUUCCAGGCAAUCAGCAGCAGACCCUCCCUCCCAGACCCUCCCACCUCCUGGACAGCAUCCAUUUUACAUUCAUUGUGAAGCUGCAUUCUUAGUGAGCUGUCCAGGAGGUGGGAGGGUGUGGGAGGGAGGGUCUGCUGCUGAUUGGCUGGACUGU